CAAUCACUUGUCUUUUAAAUGAAGACCUGUAUGAAUGGCACGACGAGGGCUCGACUGUCUCCUCUCCCCAGUCAAUGAAAUUGAUUUUCCCGUGCAGAAGCGGGAGUACCCCCAUAAGACGAGAAGACCCUAUGGAGCUUUAGACACUAGGAAGCCCACAUUAACAAACCUGCCCCACCAGAAAGAACUCAGUGGCCCCUCUCCUAUUUGUCUUUGGUUGGGGCGACCGCGGAGGAAAAGACAGCCUCCAUGAGGACUAAGAGCACUGCUCUUACAGCCAAGACCCACUGCUCUAAGCAACAGAACUUCUGACCACAAUGAUCCGGCCUGCGCCGAUCAACGGACCGAGUUACCCUAGGGAUAACAGCGCAAUCCUCUCCCAGAGUCCC
Molecule: ribosomal RNA, 389 nt
Filed under: Astronesthes chrysophekadion
Lineage: Eukaryota; Metazoa; Chordata; Actinopteri; Stomiiformes; Stomiidae
Description: partial 16S ribosomal RNA
Rfam family: Bacterial large subunit ribosomal RNA
Source: RNAcentral